This 526-nucleotide ribosomal RNA is filed under the name uncultured bacterium. RNAcentral's name for it is "bacterial SSU rRNA". It matches the Rfam family "Bacterial small subunit ribosomal RNA", at positions 777 to 1318 of the family's 1533-position model. The record is from RNAcentral.
AAUAGAUACCCGGGUAGUCCUGGCGGUAAACGAUGACCACGAGGUGUGCGGCGUAUCGACCCGCUGCGUGCCGAAGCUAACGCGAUCAGUGGUCCGCCUGGGGAGUACGGUCGCAAGAUUAAAACUCAAAGGAAUUGACGGGGACCCGCACAAGCAGCGGAGCGUGUGGUUUAAUUCGAUGCGACGCGAAGCACCUUACCAGGGUUUGACAUGCCAGCAAAACUUCGUGAAAGCGGAGGUCCUUCGGGUGCUGGCACAGGUGCUGCAUGGCUGUCGUCAGCUCGUGCCGUGAGGUGUUGGGUUAGGUCCCGCAACGAGCGCAACCCCCAUGCUCGGUUACAGGUGUCCGAGCAGACUGCCACUCUCAAAGUGGAGGAAGGUGGGGAUGACGUCAAGUCAGCACGGCCCUGACAUCCUGGGCGACACACACGCUACAAUGGCCACCACAAUGGGACGCCAACCCGCAAGGGGGAGCCAAGCCCAACAAAGGUGGUCUCAGUUCGGAUGGUGGGCUGCAACUCGCCCG